This 787-nucleotide ribosomal RNA is filed under the name uncultured bacterium. RNAcentral's name for it is "bacterial SSU rRNA". It matches the Rfam family "Bacterial small subunit ribosomal RNA", at positions 8 to 792 of the family's 1533-position model. The record is from RNAcentral.
AGAGUUUGAUCCUGGCUCAGAUUGAACGCUGGCGGCAUGCCUUACACAUGCAAGUCGAACGGUAACAGGUCUUCGGAUGCUGACGAGUGGCGAACGGGUGAGUAAUACAUCGGAACGUGCCCGAUCGUGGGGGAUAACGAGGCGAAAGCUUUGCUAAUACCGCAUACGAUCUACGGAUGAAAGCGGGGGAUCUUCGGACCUCGCGCGGACGGAGCGGCCGAUGGCAGAUUAGGUAGUUGGUGGGAUAAAAGCUUACCAAGCCGACGAUCUGUAGCUGGUCUGAGAGGAUGAUCAGCCACACUGGGACUGAGACACGGCCCAGACUCCUACGGGAGGCAGCAGUGGGGAAUUUUGGACAAUGGGCGAAAGCCUGAUCCAGCCAUGCCGCGUGCAGGAUGAAGGCCUUCGGGUUGUAAACUGCUUUUGUACGGAACGAAAAGCCUCUUUCUAAUAAAGAGGGGUCAUGACGGUACCGUAAGAAUAAGCACCGGCUAACUACGUGCCAGCAGCCGCGGUAAUACGUAGGGUGCAAGCGUUAAUCGGAAUUACUGGGCGUAAAGCGUGCGCAGGCGGUUUUGUAAGACAGAGGUGAAAUCCCCGGGCUCAACCUGGGAACUGCCUUUGUGACUGCAAGGCUGGAGUGCGGCAGAGGGGGAUGGAAUUCCGCGUGUAGCAGUGAAAUGCGUAGAUAUGCGGAGGAACACCGAUGGCGAAGGCAAUCCCCUGGGCCUGCACUGACGCUCAUGCACGAAAGCGUGGGGAGCAAACAGGAUUAGAUACCCCGGUA